AUUGAACGCUAGCGGGAUGCCUUACACAUGCAAGUCGAACGGCAGCAUAAGAGAGCUUGCUCUCUUGAUGGCGAGUGGCGAACGGGUGAGUAAUGUAUCGGAACGUGCCCAGUAGCGGGGGAUAACUACGCGAAAGAGUGGCUAAUACCGCAUGAGAUCUACGGAUGAAAGCAGGGGAUCGCAAGACCUUGUGCUACUAGAGCGGCCGAUGGCAGAUUAGGUAGUUGGUGGGAUAAAAGCUUACCAAGCCAACGAUCUGUAGCUGGUCUGAGAGGACGAUCAGCCACACUGGGACUGAGACACGGCCCAG
This 310-nucleotide ribosomal RNA is filed under the name uncultured bacterium. Its description in RNAcentral is "bacterial SSU rRNA". It matches the Rfam family "Bacterial small subunit ribosomal RNA", at positions 30 to 334 of the family's 1533-position model. The record is from RNAcentral.